Small nucleolar RNA from Jaculus jaculus (lesser Egyptian jerboa), 137 nucleotides. Its record names the gene SNORA72. It matches the Rfam family "Small nucleolar RNA SNORA72". From Rfam's summary of the family: U72 is a member of the H/ACA class of snoRNAs. NCBI's taxonomy places the organism in Eukaryota, Metazoa, Chordata, Mammalia, Rodentia, Dipodidae. The record is from Ensembl.
UUGUGAAUAUUCUCCCUGUUCUGAUUUUGUAAUAAUCUGGACAGGCUAAACAUUCGCUAUAUUAAGACCAUGCAUGUGUCCCCAGACCUAGGUCUUCUCUUUCCCUAGGUCUGGUUUUAUCAAUGCUGGUGGUAAAC